AACGUAGGACGCAAGCGUUAUCCGGAGUUACUGGGCGUAAAGCGCGGGCAGGCGGUCGUUCAAGUCUGCUGUGAAAUCUCCUCGCUCAACGGGGAGCAGCCAGUGGAAACUAGACGACUGGAGUCUGACAGAGGUAGGCGGAAUUCCGGGUGGAGUGGUGAAAUGCGUAGAGAUCCGGAGGAACACCAGAGGCGAAGGCGGCCUACCGGGUCAGUACUGACGCUGAGCCGCGAAAGCCAGGGGAGCGAACGGG
This 253-nucleotide ribosomal RNA is filed under the name uncultured bacterium. Its description in RNAcentral is "partial 16S ribosomal RNA". It matches the Rfam family "Bacterial small subunit ribosomal RNA", at positions 524 to 776 of the family's 1533-position model. The record is from RNAcentral.